GGUAUGAAGGACUAUACUAUUAUUUUCUGAGUAUAUCAAGAGAGUUGUCUAUCUAUGUUAAUAUCAUUAGUUGACACCCACCUGUUGGACACACACACACACACACACACACACACACACAGUUUCUAGAAUAACGUUAUUAAUUCGAUAUUGUUUACUAAUAACAUUGAUGAGAAAAAAAUGAUUUCCACCCAGGGUUGUGAUUUGUAUGGAAUUUGCACCUUCUUUCCAGGUAAACUGGCAUAUCUAAAUGGUCCUAGUCUGACUGAGAGUGAGAGAGAGUGUGAGAGAGAGAAAGAGAGAGAGAUCUUGUGUGUGUGUGUGUGUGUGUGUGUGUGUGUGUGUGCGCGCCCUAUGAUGGAAUGGCAUCCUGUUCAGGGUUGAUUCCCACCUUGUGCUGAACUGCCUGGACAGGAUCAGGCCACCUGAGACCCUAAACUGCAAUAAACAGGUAAAUUAGUGUUUCUAUUAAUCAUUCUGAAACAUAUGUAUAGCUCAUAUUUAUUUUAUUAUUUAAUAUUAGAAGUGAUUUGAAUCUUUAUUUAAAAAUUUAGUGAUGUGCUUGUAGGAGAAAUAUGCCAUAGGAAUUUGUUUUCUUGUUUAGAUCAAUUAACCUUUGGUAAAUUGGUUUUCUUAUAUGUUGUUUCACUUAGGAUGGCGGUUUUCAAGAAUCUACCAACCAUGAUAAAUGAGUAUAAGUGCUGAGAUGCUCUCAAAAGAACUUCCAGGAAGAUGAGAAAUCUCAGACCCAGAGAUUGGAAAUUGUCAACAGCCACAGAAGUCACUAUUAGAACUGGCCUACCACUGAAUCUCAAGGAACAUAAAGAGGUCAUUGGAGAAAAAUAUCAUUUCUGUAGCUAUACAUGUUCAAACCAAGAAUAUGUCACAUGGCGUUUUACAUUCUUAUUUACUUAAGGGCAUGAAGGGAAAAUUCAGAAGUCAGGACAGGCUUGGACAAUACGGGCAGUACAGUAAACAUAUAUUGAAUGACUGUGUAUUGCUUUAAAUUAAAAGUUAUGGGAAUAACCUGCCACCUCUAUACAUCAAUCUUAAUUUCAUGUAGGGGACUACUAUUGAGAAAACCUGGUUUCAUUUGCUGCAUCAAAACAGCACAAAAAAUAAGGGUAUUUAUAAAUAUCCAUACACAUGAAUGUUAAUUGCAGCACUAUUCACAAAAGCAAGGAUAUGGAAUUAACUUAAAUGCUCAUCAAUGACAGAUUGGAUAAUGAAAAUGUGAUACAUAUAUAUCACGGAAUACUAUGCAGCCAUAAAAAAGGAUGAUAUCAUGUCGUUUGUUGGAACAUGGAUGAAGCAGAGGAUAUUAUUCUUAGCAAACUCAAGCAGGAACAUAAGAGCAAAUACUACAUGUUCUCACUUAAAAGUGGGAGCUAAAUGGUAAGAACUCAUGAAAACAAAGAGGGGAACAAAAGACACCAGGGCCUACUUGAGGGUGUUGGGUAGAAGGAACAAGAAGAGUAGAAAAAAGAUUGGGUACUAGGCUUAGUAACUGGAUGAUAAAAUAAUCUGUCCAACAAACCUCUGUGACAUGAGUUUACCUAUUUACCAAACCUGCACUUGUACCCCUGAAACUAAAGUAAAAGUUAAAGAGUACAGAAAGUUGCAAGAGGAUAUGGAACACCUUGAAGACAUCUAAGAAUUUAUUAUUAUUUUUUAAAAUUGUAAAGCAUA
Non-coding RNA from Callithrix jacchus (white-tufted-ear marmoset), 1689 nucleotides. The record is from RefSeq and is a predicted model, not a curated record. NCBI's taxonomy places the organism in Eukaryota, Metazoa, Chordata, Mammalia, Primates, Cebidae.